This 69-nucleotide transfer RNA is filed under the name marine eukaryotic metagenome. It matches the Rfam family "tRNA". From Rfam's summary of the family: Transfer RNA (tRNA) molecules are approximately 80 nucleotides in length. The record is from RNAcentral.
GGGCAUAGCUCAGCUGGAUAGAGCAACGGUUUUCUAAACCGUGGGUCGGGGGUUCAAGUCCCUCUGCCC